Molecule: transfer RNA, 73 nt
Filed under: Schistocerca americana (American grasshopper)
Lineage: Eukaryota; Metazoa; Arthropoda; Insecta; Orthoptera; Acrididae
Description: tRNA-Tyr
Rfam family: tRNA
About the family: Transfer RNA (tRNA) molecules are approximately 80 nucleotides in length. Their secondary structure includes four short double-helical elements and three loops (D, anti-codon, and T loops).
Source: RNAcentral
CCUCUGGUAGCUCAGAUGGUAGAGCGGUGCACUGUAGAUCCAUAGGUCGCUGGUUCAAAUCCGGCCCAGAGGA